UAGGCUCCGUGUCAUGGUUUCAGAGGUAGAGUUUCCAAGUGACCCUGCUCAUCCCAGCAGUAGGGGAGCUUUAAUUUCCUGGGUCCAGGAUGGUUUUCUGCAACUCUCUGAGGAGUAGAGAACAUUUACUUUUACCCUCCCACCAAUCAUUCAGCAGCUUCACCAUCCUCCAGGACUGCAACAACAAGUAUUCUCCUCUCUUUGAUGCUGCUCCUUCUCAUGGGCACACAUUGCUUCACGGAAGGCCCAUCAUCUUCAGCUGAAAUGCCAUACUCAAAGAAGACUUUCCACAAGAGCAUGAAGAAACAUCUAAAAAAGAAUGGCAGCACUCAGACCGUGUGUUUCAAGGUCCACGCCAACACAGGUUAAUGAACCCUAGAAUUACAUAAUAAAAGAGAGAGAUCCUCAGAGA
Molecule: long non-coding RNA, 412 nt
Organism: Gorilla gorilla gorilla (western lowland gorilla)
Lineage: Eukaryota; Metazoa; Chordata; Mammalia; Primates; Hominidae
Exons: 3
Source: RefSeq, a predicted model, not a curated record